AGUAAAAUGCCUGAUUUAAAAGGGUUAUCAUGAUAGGAUAAAUAAUGUAAUGAAUUACUUUUACUA
This 66-nucleotide transfer RNA is filed under the name Hierodula membranacea. Its description in RNAcentral is "tRNA-Ile". Lineage: Eukaryota; Metazoa; Arthropoda; Insecta; Mantodea; Mantidae. The record is from RNAcentral.